This is a long non-coding RNA of Oxyura jamaicensis (ruddy duck), 707 nucleotides long. RefSeq lists it as uncharacterized. The record is from RefSeq and is a predicted model, not a curated record. The transcript is spliced from 3 exons. NCBI's taxonomy places the organism in Eukaryota, Metazoa, Chordata, Aves, Anseriformes, Anatidae.
ACAAAACCUGUUAUUAUUCAUGGGCAGUAUGCAUGCAGGGGGUGUGUGAGGCACCGACCGUGGAGAGCAUGCACUCAGGGAUGGUGCAGGAGAAUUUUUACAUACUUUUAGCUCAAAGGUCCUCACAGAGCUAGGUUUGUGGGAAGGAUUUGACUAGUGGGGUCAUUUGGCACAACAGGCUUAGAAGAUUGCUCCAUUCGUGGAGCAUGGAAUAAGCCAGUCCCAAAUGGAAAAAUACAAAGUUAACUGAUGUAGAAAAAAAAAGUGUAUCAAGUUAAGGUUAUACAGCACUUCAAAGAACACGUCUGUAUUAAAAUCAGCAUGGUUAAUAAUUGGAGAGGUCGUUAGAGAUGGGACAAGCCUGACAAGUUCUACAGUGAAAUCUGUCCUGUGUUUGGGCUCAAGCGCGCAGCGUUUGCUUUGGAAGCCCUUUCAGAUGAGCCUGAGAAGAAUAAGGAACCUAAGUGGAGGUGGCAAGGCACUGGUCUUGAUGCCAAUGGGUAGCUGAGAUGGUGACCCUGGAAAGGUUGUGAACUCCAAAGUGUUCACUGGUCUUAAAAUUUGGGUUUGCUUUGGCACCCUGGCAAACAGAGCUAGUGUUCUAAAUUGAAUCUGCUGGACUUCCAGCAGCUGUCAGGGACUGGGACGAGAACGUACAGCCUUGGGAGCCUCGCACAUUUCCACUUCUGGAUUCUGCAUGCCAAGGU